Molecule: RNA transcript, 1570 nt
Organism: Octodon degus (degu)
Lineage: Eukaryota; Metazoa; Chordata; Mammalia; Rodentia; Octodontidae
Gene name: protein LSM14 homolog A pseudogene
Exons: 1
Source: RefSeq, a predicted model, not a curated record
UCUGCCUUUAUGCAGGAUACAGGAUCUAUAAAGACACAGUUAUCUCAAGGUCAUUCAAGCCCUCAGUUAGACCCUUUCAGAAAAAGUCCAACCAUGGAGCAAGCAGUACAGACUGCCUCAGCUCACUUACCUGCUCCAGCACCAGUUGGAGAAGGAGCCCUGUGCCAACCAGGCCUUUGCCAUCUACCAGCCAAAAAGCAAUAGAGAAUCAAGAGCACAGGCGAGCUGAAGUACGUAAAGUUUCAAGGCCAGAAAAUGAGCAACCCAGAAAUGAUAGUAAGAGACAAAUAAUUCCAGGUGCUCCUUCCACUCCAAGGAGAGGGCGUGGAGGACAUCGAGGUGGCUGGGGAAGGUUUGGUAUUUGGAGAGAUGGUCCGAUGAAAUUUGAGAAAGACUUUGACUUCGAAAGUGCAAAUGCACAAUUUAACAAAGAGGAGAUUGAGAGAGAAUUUCAUUGCAAACUUAAAUUAAAAGAAGAUAAACUUGAGAAACCUGUAAAUGGUGAAGAUAAGGGAGACUUUGGAGUUGAUACCCAAAACAGUGAAGGAAAUGCUGAUGAAGAAGAUCCUCUUGGCCUUAACUGCUACUAUGACAAAACUAAAUCCUUAUUUGACAAUAUUUCCUGUGAUGAUAAUAGGGAAUGGAGACCAACCUGGGCUGAAGAAAGCCAAUUAAAUGCUGAAACUUUCAGGAUUCCACUCCGUCCAAACCAUGGUCGUGGAGGGUACAGAGGAGGCAGAGGCGGUCUUGGUUUCCGUGGUGGUCGAGGACGCCGAGAACAUGGUAGUGGCAGAGGUGGUACCUUUAUUACUCCUCAGGGAUUUCGUGGUGGAUUCAGAGGAGGUUGUGGUGGAAGAGAGUUUGCAGAUUUUGAAUAUAAGAAAGACAACAAAGUUGUUGCAUAGUCUUCAAACAAGUCUUUGAAAAUGGGUGAAUUUGUAGUUCUUUGUGGUCCUGAAAAUUGGUUUCAGUCUUUGUGAAGAAUGAAGAAGUGAAUUUGCUGUGUAUUUGUCACCAGCACUGGGUUUUACUUUUCCAACUAAUUUCAAAGAUACAACAUAAUUACUUUUGGGGGGAGGAAGGCUCAUCUUUAGAAAUGAGCAUUAAAUAUAUUUGGAAUAGCAGAAGGUUAAGUAAUUUCUUAUGUAUAGCUAAACUAAAGCAGUACUUAAGUGGGACUUACAAGUAUUUUUUCAUCACUGAGAGGAUUUUUCUUAUCACUAAAUUGCAUUUGGCAGUGAUUGCAAGAUAGGGCCAUGAUACUGUGUUCUGAGCCACAGAAAGGGGUGUGUGUGUGUGUGUGUGUGUGUGUGUGUGUAUUUUUUUUUUUUUUGGAAAUCCUAUAAUAUGAGGUAGCUUAUUUCAUCAAUUAAUUAGGGUGCUGGAUGGUAGAGAAUUUUGUCAGUCAACUAUGUACAUACAGUAAAUACUGUUUCUUAGGUAAAGGUAACUUUUUUAUAUAGUUGUGAAAUUUCAUUAUAUUCCAUUGCCAAAGAAACAUUAAGAACUUUGUAUAGCUGUAUAAAAAGCAACUAAUUUUUAAAGAAUAAAUAUUUUAAAGUCAGCAAAA